Molecule: long non-coding RNA, 1241 nt
Filed under: Anser cygnoides (Swan goose)
Lineage: Eukaryota; Metazoa; Chordata; Aves; Anseriformes; Anatidae
Description: lncRNA (ENSACDG00005007488.1)
Source: RNAcentral
CAAUCAGAAAAUUAAUGGAGAAUAUGAAUGAUGUUCUUUCUGCUAGCAAAGUGUGUAGAACGCCGCUAUGGUUUCUUAAUAGGAACAGCUGAAGAAGUAUUUUCAAUGGCAGACCAUUGCUCCUAUUCACACAUCAGGACCCUGAGGGUGUCAUUCAACACCCAAGGGCAAGAUGCGGAGCCGAACUCAGUAAUAGGAGGUGAUGAUAAAGCUGGAUUUGAGGGAAAUGUAGCAGGUUACAUCUCAGCUGCACUCUCAAUAUCUACUUUUUUUGUUAAGUUCUACUUUUUACACAUCCAAAACCUAAUCAGAUGUUAUUUCCUACUGCUCAUCUUUGAAAGAUGUUUACUAGUGCAAAGGAACUUCUGUCAGUGCUUUGAGCUGGACUAACUUGUUUGAAAGACGAUUCUGACAAAUCAUCUUGCUGUACCUCAAAGACAACUUUGUCACAUUGAAAGAAAUAUUUCCAAGCAAUUAUGAAAGAUAAAAAACAAAAACAAAGCCCAUAAGACUUAUGUCAGAGUAGGUCUUGUGCUUACUGUCCUGCAAUUCUAAUCCUGCUAAGCAUCACCUUUAGGAUUGGCAGAAAAGGAUUUUCACAUUCAUCUGGGAAAACAAAACAGAACUGUCACUUCCACUAGCGUAAUAUUGAGUCAUUCAUAUUUUAUAGUGGCGUUCUUUCAUGUUUGUUGAUAGGUUUGGAGAAAAUAAGAAACUUUUGACAUGUUUUAAGAAACAAACAAACCCCUACCACCCACAAAGAGAAACAAAGCACCAAUAAUUCAUGUCUUGUGGUGUUGAACCUAGUAUUUUAUGUUUGGGCUGGUCACUUAAAUUCAAGAAGGAAGGCAUAUUUAGAUUCUGUCCUAAGCUGUAGGAUCCCCAUUUGCUAGUUAAAUGGUGCAGUCCAGUAAGGAGCGCUGAGGCAUCAUUUGUUCACACCAGGGCGUUCCAGCUCCUGGCCAAAGAGGUGUGCUGCCACUGGGACUCAGGCAAAAGCCCCACCGGAGGGAAGGCCCGCUAGCUCUCAUGGAGUACAAUAAGAGGAACUGCCAAGGCUGGUCUGUGUUCUGCUUCCAGGCAAAAUGGGAUUUUGGAGAUGUUUAUAUGCACUGGAGCCUUCUAACGGUAUGAUGCCCAGUCCUGGUACAGACAGUUGCUUGUACAUAAAUAAUGAGUAUUAAACAUUUAAGUCAAUACUGUUUAAAUAAAUGUGUGUAUUCAUUGGGAGGUUUAUAACA